Molecule: non-coding RNA, 99 nt
Organism: Mycena latifolia
Lineage: Eukaryota; Fungi; Basidiomycota; Agaricomycetes; Agaricales; Mycenaceae
Source: the annotation of a GenBank genome assembly
GGCUCGGUGGUGGAUGGUCCAUACCUGCUUCUUGUAUGUCGUCAUACGUGUAAAGACAAUAGCCAGCAGGGGACGCCUGUUCGAACCAGGCUCGAGCCG